AUUGCAAUCGAUCUAUUUUGAGCAGCAAAGAUCUCGAUAUGGUGCUUAAAAUUAAAAUAGUUUUGAGUUAUUUCUUUUAUACUCUAUGAUAUUUAGGCCAGUAUAUAGAUGCUUGGCACAUUUUUUUAGUUCAACGGUUAUCUGUCAUAGGAUUGCAAAUGCCUUAAUAUUACUUAAUUCUUUUGAGAGAAACUCACCGUGACUAGCCUCUGAAAUUUGUUACUGUGUGUACUUCUCAUCCACUAUAUCAAGGAAAACUUUGCUGAAGAAAUUGUUGUCUACUUGUAGUGUUCUUAAGACCGCAAUGUUUUUGUCUUUAUCUAUCCUUCCUCUCUCAGGUUUUUGAUAGUUGGAUGAAAUAUGGGUUAAAGCAUUGUUAGUAGAAGGAAAGAAGUACAACGUCAAGCUGCAGAGAUAUCUUGAAGAAACCAGGCCGAUGAAAAAUCAAGAUUGGUCUACGGUCAAUCCACUUUUUGCAAGGGGCACUGGAGGAGGGCAAGCUGAUCAGCGUGAAUGGCAACAGCUCUCAGCCACAAUCAGCCGUAACAACAAGACACACAGGGAUCGUCGACUGGCCACUCUGCGGCAUCCAUGCUGCGCAGCGCCAGCACGCUUGGCGACAACAUUCUCCUCAUCAUCGCGCUCCGCUUCCACUCCACGAUAGCCCGCUGUCGAGCUUGUGGGGGAGGGCAGCAACGGGAGCAGGGUACAACGAGCUCGCGGAUCCUAGAACGUGUUAAAGGAGUAGAGCUUGCCCUCAGUGGGAUGGUUGGACACCGGCGUGAAGCAAAAAGGGGUGGCGCAUAUAUAUCAUUCAGGCUUAAUCCUUUUGGCGACUAUUUACCGGGAGCAAUCUGAAAGAAUGAAUGCCCGAUAAUCAUCUGACAAGCCAAUGCACCAUGUCGCUCAAUUACAGAGCUGAGGAGGACCUGUCAGGAGGUUGGGACGAUGAUGCCCUGGAGGAGGGAUGGUCUUUGGUGGCAGAGGAUGCUGGCAGGGCACAAGAUUGCAGCAGAUGAAGAUGGCGUGGCGUUCAAACCUUGGGAAUUAAAUCCUGUGACGAGCAGCGGAUGGCUAGAGGGAAUGGAGGGAGGUGUAGUGGAUCAAGGCGGAGAGAUAUGGAGAUAGGUUAAGAGAAAGAGACUAUAAGUCAUUAACGCAGAUCACGGUGGGCAUGGGCAUCAACCUUUAA
This is a non-coding RNA of Lolium perenne, 1192 nucleotides long. NCBI's taxonomy places the organism in Eukaryota, Viridiplantae, Streptophyta, Magnoliopsida, Poales, Poaceae. The record is from RefSeq and is a predicted model, not a curated record.